GAUGAACGCUGGCGGCGUGCCUAAUACAUGCAAGUCGAGCGAAAAGACGAGGAGCUUGCUCCUCGGACGUUAGCGGCAGACGGGUGAGUAACACGUGGAUAACCUACUUAUAAGACGGGGAUAACCUCGGGAAACCGGAGCUAAUACCGGAUAAGAUAUUGCACCGCGUGGUUCAAUAGUGAGAGACGGUUGUGCGGGCAGUUAUAGAUGGUUACGCGCUGGAUUAGCUAGUUGGUAAGGUAAUGGCCUAUCAAGGCAACGAGGCGUAGCCGACCUGAGAGGGUGAUCGGCCACACUGGAACUUGGACAGCGACCAUGCUCCUGCGGGAGGCCGCAGUAGGGAAUCUUCCGCAAUGGGCGAAAGCCUGACGGAGCAACGCCGCGUGAGUGAUGAAGGUCUUCGGAUCGUAAAGCUCUGUUAUUAGGGAAGAACAAAUGUGUAAGUAGCUAUGCACGUCUUGACGGUACCUAAUCAGAAAGCCACGGCUAACUACGUG
Molecule: ribosomal RNA, 497 nt
Filed under: uncultured bacterium
Lineage: Bacteria
Description: partial 16S ribosomal RNA
Rfam family: Bacterial small subunit ribosomal RNA
Source: RNAcentral